UUCCGGUUGAUCCUGCCGGACCUGACUGCUAUCGGAUUAAUACUAAGCCAUGCGAGUUUUUGUAGUAAUACAAGGCAUACGGCUCAGUAACACGUAGUCAACCUACCCUAUGGACGAGGAUAAUCUCGGGAAACUGAGCAUAAUACUCGAUAGGUCAUAAUGCCUGGAAUGGUUUAUGGUUGAAAUGAUUCGUUCGCCAUAGGAUGGGACUGCGGCCUAUCAGCUUGUUGGUGGGGUAAUGGCCCACCAAGGCGAUUACAGGUACGGGCUCUGAGAGGAGAAGCCCGGAGAUGGGUACUGAGACACGGACCCAGGCCCUAUGGGGCGCAGCAGGCGAGAAAACUUUGCAAUGUGCGAAAGCACGACAAGGUUAGUCCGAGUGAUUUCUGCUAAAGAAAUCUUUUGCCAGUUGUAAAACUACUAGUGAAUAAGGGGUGGGCAAGUUCUGGUGUCAGCCGCCGCGGUAAAACCAGCACCUCAAGUGGUCAGGAGGAUUAUUGGGCCUAAAGCAUCCGUAGCCGGCUUUGUUAGUUUUCGGUUAAAUCCAUGCGCUCAACGUAUGGGCUGCCGAGAAUACUGCAUAGCUAGGGAGUGGGAGAGGUAGACGGUACUCGGUAGGAAGGGGUAAAAUCCUUUGAUCUAUCGAUGACCACCUGUGGCGAAGGCGGUCUACCAGAACACGUUCGACGGUGAGGGAUGAAAGCUGGGGGAGCAAACCGGAUUAGAUACCCGGGUAGUCCCAGCUGUAAACGAUGCAGACUCGAUGAUGCAUUGGCAUAUAGCCAGUGCAGUGUCGCACGGAAGCCGUUAAGUCUGCCGCCUGGGGAAGUACGUACGCAAGUAUGAAACUUAUAGGAAUUGGCGGGGGAGCACCACAAGGGGUGAAGCCUGCGGUUCAAUUGGAGUCAACGCCGGGA
This 917-nucleotide ribosomal RNA is filed under the name uncultured archaeon. Its description in RNAcentral is "bacterial SSU rRNA". It matches the Rfam family "Archaeal small subunit ribosomal RNA", at positions 1 to 923 of the family's 1478-position model. The record is from RNAcentral.